RNAcentral lists this ribosomal RNA (393 nucleotides) under uncultured bacterium. RNAcentral's name for it is "bacterial SSU rRNA". It matches the Rfam family "Bacterial small subunit ribosomal RNA", at positions 29 to 412 of the family's 1533-position model. The record is from RNAcentral.
GCGAACGCUGGCGGUAUGCUUAACACAUGCAAGUCGAGCGCGAAAGUGACUUCGGUCAUGAGUAGAGCGGCGGACGGGUGAGUAACACGUGGAUAAUCUGCCUUUAGGACUGGGAUAACCCUGGGAAACUAGGGCUAAUACCGGAUAAGACCACAGGUUCCAUGGAACCAGGGGUAAAAGGCGGCCUUCGGGCUGUCGCCGAAAGAUGAGUCCGCGUCCCAUCAGGUAGUUGGUGAGGUAACGGCUCACCAAGCCGAAGACGGGUAGCCGACCUUAGCGGGUGAUCGGCCACACGGGGACUGAGACACGGCCCCGACUCCUACGGGAGGCAGCAGUGGGGAAUCUUGGGCAAUGGGCGCAAGCCUGACCCAGCAAUACCGCGUGAGGGAUGAA